AGAUCUUGCUGUUGAAUACCAGCUUUAUCAUUUGGAAGCCAACUUACGUAUGUAACAAAAAAUAUAAGGCCAGAUAAAGAGAGCUGAGAAACCCUGAGUCUUUAGGAGAACUCAUGGGUGGAGUUACGGAUUCUGUAAAGGCAAAAAAGGCUUUGCACCAAGGUUCAAUAGAAGUUCAAAAUAUAAAAUAGAAAUGGCUCAAUACCAAAGUCCUGGUAUCCGAAAAUCCCACAGACUUUGGAAUUUGAAGUUCAUGGUAUUAAUCUAAUUUGUUCUAGCUGGGUAGCCAGCCCUUUGUGUGCCUGACAGCUGUCUGUUACAAGCAAGAAUACAUCUGAUGCGGUAGAGGGAUAUAUUGGCCUUCUCUGCUUCCUAAACAGAAGAGAAUUUGCCAUUUCUAACUGGUGCCAGCACAGAAGCAAAGGUGCAUCUGGGAAGGGAGUUGUGCACUUGAACUCCACUUGCAGAGAACGACUGGUGAAAUGUGUGCUAGAAGCAACCGGAUCCAUAACUCUGAUUAAAGAGGUUCUACAAAAGUAACUGUUCUACUGAUUAACGAGUUGAGGCUCUA
RNAcentral lists this long non-coding RNA (571 nucleotides) under Struthio camelus australis. Its description in RNAcentral is "lncRNA (ENSSCUG00000017060.1)". The record is from RNAcentral. Lineage: Eukaryota; Metazoa; Chordata; Aves; Struthioniformes; Struthionidae.